GACAGAGGGUGCAAACGUUGUUCGGAAUUACUGGGCGUAAAGCGCGUGUAGGCUGCUUCAAAAGUCGGGUGUGAAAGCCCUGGGCUCAACCUAGGAAGUGCACUCGAAACUGCGGAGCUUGAGUCCUGGAGAGGAAGGCGGAAUUCUCGGUGUAGAGGUGAAAUGCGUAGAGAUCGGGAGGAACACCAGAGGCGAAGGCGGCGACCUGGACAGGCACUGACACUCAACUACGAAAGCGUGGGGAGCAAACAGG
Molecule: ribosomal RNA, 253 nt
Filed under: uncultured bacterium
Lineage: Bacteria
Description: partial 16S ribosomal RNA
Rfam family: Bacterial small subunit ribosomal RNA
Source: RNAcentral